UAGUGGCGCAAGGGUGAGUAACACGUGGGUAAUCUACCUUAGAGACUGGGAUAACAGUUGGAAACGACUGCUAAUACCGGAUGAUAUGUAAGAAGAUACGUUUUCUUAUAUUAAAAGGAGCCUUUAAAGCUUCACUUUAAGAUGAGCCUGCGGCGUAUUAGCUAGUUGGUGGGGUAAAGGCCUACCAAGGCAACGAUGCGUAGCCGACCUGAGAGGGUGAUCGGCCACACUGGGACUGAGACACGGCCCAGACUCCUACGGGAGACAGCAGUUAGGAAUAUUCGUCAAUGGGGGAAACCCUGAACGAGCAAUGCCGCGUGAAGGAAGACGGUCCUCUGGAUUGUAAACUUCUGUUGUUAGGGAAGAACGACCUGUGUAGGAAAUGACAUAGGAGUGACGGUACCUUUCAAGAAGGCUCCGGCUAACUACGUGCCAGCAGCCGCGGUAAUACGUAGGGAGCGAGCGUUAUCCGGAAUUAUUGGGUGUAAAGCGUGUGUAGGCGGGAAAUUAAGUCUAAGGUCUAAGCCCGGAGCUCAACUCCGGUUCGCCUUAGAAACUGAUUUUCUUGAGUGUGGUAGAGGCAAACGGAAUUUCUAGUGUAGCGGUAAAAUGCGUAGAUAUUAGAAGGAACACCAGUGGCGAAGGCGG
This 648-nucleotide ribosomal RNA is filed under the name uncultured bacterium. RNAcentral's name for it is "bacterial SSU rRNA". It matches the Rfam family "Bacterial small subunit ribosomal RNA", at positions 93 to 724 of the family's 1533-position model. The record is from RNAcentral.